Molecule: ribosomal RNA, 442 nt
Filed under: uncultured bacterium
Lineage: Bacteria
Description: SSU rRNA
Rfam family: Bacterial small subunit ribosomal RNA
Source: RNAcentral
UCAUGGACGAGAGUCUGAACCAGCCAAGUAGCGUGAAGGAUGACUGCCCUAUCCGUUGUAAACUUCUUUUAUACGGGAAUAAAGUGAGGCACGUGUGCCUUUUUGUAUGUACCGUAUGAAUAAGGAUCGGCUAACUCCGUGCCAGCAGCCGCGGUAAUACGGAGGAUCCGAGCGUUAUCCGGAUUUAUUGGGUUUAAAGGGAGCGUAGGCGGACGCUUAAGUCAGUUGUGAAAGUUUGCGGCUCAACCGUAAAAUUGCAGUUGAUACUGGGUGUCUUGAGUACAGUAGAGGCAGGCGGAAUUCGUGGUGUAGCGGUGAAAUGCUUAGAUAUCACGAAGAACUCCGAUUGCGAAGGCAGCCUGCUGGACUGUAACUGACGCUGAUGCUCGAAAGUGUGGGUAUCAAACAGGAUUAGAUACCCUGGUAGUCCAAGGGCGAAUUC